Long non-coding RNA from Leopardus geoffroyi (Geoffroy's cat), 1221 nucleotides. RefSeq lists it as uncharacterized. The record is from RefSeq and is a predicted model, not a curated record. The transcript is spliced from 5 exons. Lineage: Eukaryota; Metazoa; Chordata; Mammalia; Carnivora; Felidae.
UCAGCCUCAGGUGGAGGCAGCAAAGACCACACUGCACCCCGUUCCCGGCCUCGGUGUUUUAUCUCCAGCUGGUCAAUGCUGGCUCUCUGGUCCCUGUCCCUAUGUCCCACUGAUGCCACUGAGGCACCACUGUGUGUAGGGAAGUCCCUGAUGCAUCUGAUGGAGCUCAGAGGACACGUGGCUGCGUUUUUGUAGGCAGAUGGGAAGGUCCAAGUGCAUGACCCUCAGGUUGGCUGGCACAGGAAUGUCCUCCGGUGGCACCCUCCAGCAAAGAUUUUCCAGACCAGAGCAAGGAAGUGUUAUCAUUCCAGCCACCUCCACCACCUGCAGGAGACACGGAGAAAACCCCAAGUGAGGAUGCUGGUCAGGAACCCUGGAUUAGGCCAGACAAACCAAUGGGCUUUAUUGCUUCCUGGGCAAGAACUUCUCCAUUCUGAGCCUCAGUUUCCUCACCUGUGACUUGGGGAUAAUAAGACUUGCCUCAUUGGGUUGAUGUUUGGACCAAAGAAGACAACGAGUGUGCAAAAUGCUUCAGAAACCACGACGUGUAGGGAUCGUUGGGCAUGAAGUGAACACGUGUGUGCACAGGGCCUCACGCUCUGAAGCUCAGGAAAGGCACUCUACUCCAAAAGACCCCAAAGUCCUUUCUGUUCCAGCAGAUGGUGGUAGCAAGGACCUGGAGAAACAGCAGUGCUUGAGUCUGCGGAACUAUGAGGGUUAACUGGCCGGGAAGGGCGGUCUGGAAGAAUGAGUGGCAGAGCUUUUAAGCAAAUGUGUGGAAAAGAAAACAAUCGGCAUAAAGAGAAAAAAAAACCAAAUGAACCACAGCAGUGUUUUAAAAAAUGGACUGAGUAUGAAACAGUUUGGCUAUUUGGAGAAAAAAGAAUCCACCAACUCUAUGAGCUCAUUGAUUCUUCUGUAAAAUGGGAAUAAUAGUACAACAGGAAAGCCCUGCGGGUGGUGCUGAGAAGCACACGUACAACAGAUGUGGAAGUGCUUGGAGAGUUCUUAACUGCCGCUGUGAACAUCGCUGGAUGGUCUUCACCAAGCACCCAAGCCCUACUCCCACUCUCCCUUCUCUUCUAGCCAUCUCUCACUUGUAGGGAAAGUUUGAGUACUUGUUUUCAUUAAUCUCAAAUCUUAUAUGCCUUCUGAGAUCCUUGGUCUGACUGUGGAGAAAAGAAAAUACAACAAUGAACUGCAUUUUCUCUUCAGACACGG